Molecule: non-coding RNA, 218 nt
Organism: Paramuricea clavata
Lineage: Eukaryota; Metazoa; Cnidaria; Anthozoa; Malacalcyonacea; Plexauridae
Source: the annotation of a GenBank genome assembly
AAUCGAUAAAUUUUAUCUCAAAGAACUGUAGGAGUCGCGAGAGUGUUCUUAGGCUCCAUGCGUACAUCGGAUACUGGUCAUUCAUCAAGUUUAAAAUCUGUCUUUGUCGGUAAUUACGGCAAACAUAAUCUUGCAGGUCCCCUUUCAAUUCCACAUCUUCUUUCCAAUCCUCGUUUCGUAUGCCCUCUGUGACGGCGGCCAUCUUUGUUUCAAGAGUU